AAACACAAGUCUGAUCAGAGAACCCGACCGUUCCAGGUUCUGGAAAAAAAAAAACCGAACUAACAAAAGACAGCCACCAAGAAACAUAAACAGUCUGAUGUAGCUUAGGCUGGUCUCAAACUCCCUGUGUGACUUCAGAUUACCUUGAAAUGCUGAUUCUCUUGCCUCUGCCUUGCAGUGCUGGCAUUAUAGGUGUGCACCACUAUAUCUAGCUCUCGUUUGCCCCUCCCCGCCUUUUUAACUAUAAGGCACUGCGUGCCAAGUAUGUGCUUCACCACUGAGCUAAGCUCCUAGCCCCCCCCCCCUUAUUUUUAUUCCUGUUUUGGUUUUGUUUCCUUUCAUCUGUCUUGGAACACAUGUUCCCUUAUUUUGUUAAGAUUUCUCUGUUUAAACUCAACUUCCCACUCCAUAUCCAAUUUGAGCUCUUUCUUCUCUGUAAAACAGAAUGUUGGAGCUUGUGGCCCAGAAGCAGCGGGAACGUGAAGAAAGAGAGGAGCGAGAAGCUUUGGAACGAGAAAAGCAGCGGAGGAGACAAGGGCAAGAGCUGUCAGCCGUAAGGCAGAAACUACAGGAAGACGAGAUGCGCCGUGCUGCUGAGGAGCGCAGGAGAGAAAAGGCUGAAGAAUUAGCUGCCAGACAAAGGGUCCGAGAAAAAAUUGAAAGGGACAAAGCAGAGAGAGCCAAGAAGGUGGGUGAUGAGAAAGCCUGUGGGUGUAAUGGUGUAGGAGGGUUCAUUUCCUCUUCCAUUCUCAAGAGAUAGCAUGUGCUUGCAUGAUUUGUGUGUUUGAGACACAGUUUUACUCUGUAGCCCAGACUGGUCUCAGACUUCUGGUUGUUUUCCUGCCUCAGCCUUCCAAGUGCUGGAAAUAAAAGGUGUGAGCCACUGAAGCUGGGUGGGUUUGUUUUGUUUUG
Molecule: long non-coding RNA, 912 nt
Filed under: Cricetulus griseus (Chinese hamster)
Lineage: Eukaryota; Metazoa; Chordata; Mammalia; Rodentia; Cricetidae
Description: lncRNA (ENSCGRG00000025256.1)
Source: RNAcentral